This is a small nuclear RNA of Tupaia belangeri (northern tree shrew), 106 nucleotides long. Lineage: Eukaryota; Metazoa; Chordata; Mammalia; Scandentia; Tupaiidae. The record is from Ensembl.
GUAUUCGCUUUGCAGCACAUGUACUAAAAUCGGAAUAAUACAGAGAAGAUUAGCAUGGCCCUUGCGCAGGGAUGACACGCAAAUUCGUGAAGUGUUUUAUAUACAC